This 767-nucleotide ribosomal RNA is filed under the name uncultured Pseudoalteromonadaceae bacterium. RNAcentral describes it as "bacterial SSU rRNA". It matches the Rfam family "Bacterial small subunit ribosomal RNA", at positions 28 to 776 of the family's 1533-position model. The record is from RNAcentral. Lineage: Bacteria; Pseudomonadati; Pseudomonadota; Gammaproteobacteria; Alteromonadales; Pseudoalteromonadaceae.
AUUGAACGCUGGCGGCAGGCCUAACACAUGCAAGUCGAGCGGAAACGAGUUAUCUGAACUUCGGGGAACGAUAACGGCGUCGAGCGGCGGACGGGUGAGUAAUGCCUAGGAAAUUGCCCUGAUGUGGGGGAUAACCAUGGAAACGAUGGCUAAUACCGCAUGAUGCCUACGGGCCAAAGAGGGGGACCUUCGGGCCUCUCGCGUCAGGAUAUGCCUAGGUGGGAUUAGCUAGUUGGUGAGGUAAGGGCUCACCAAGGCGACGAUCCCUAGCUGGUCUGAGAGGAUGAUCAGCCACACUGGAACUGAGACACGGUCCAGACUCCUACGGGAGGCAGCAGUGGGGAAUAUUGCACAAUGGGCGCAAGCCUGAUGCAGCCAUGCCGCGUGUAUGAAGAAGGCCUUCGGGUUGUAAAGUACUUUCAGUCGUGAGGAAGGUAGUGUAGUUAAUAGCUGCAUUAUUUGACGUUAGCGACAGAAGAAGCACCGGCUAACUCCGUGCCAGCAGCCGCGGUAAUACGGAGGGUGCGAGCGUUAAUCGGAAUUACUGGGCGUAAAGCGCAUGCAGGUGGUUUGUUAAGUCAGAUGUGAAAGCCCGGGGCUCAACCUCGGAAUAGCAUUUGAAACUGGCAGACUAGAGUACUGUAGAGGGGGGUAGAAUUUCAGGUGUAGCGGUGAAAUGCGUAGAGAUCUGAAGGAAUACCGGUGGCGAAGGCGGCCCCCUGGACAGAUACUGACACUCAGAUGCGAAAGCGUGGGGAGCAAACAGG